Molecule: transfer RNA, 72 nt
Filed under: Dysgonomonas sp. GY75
Lineage: Bacteria; Pseudomonadati; Bacteroidota; Bacteroidia; Bacteroidales; Dysgonomonadaceae
Description: tRNA-Thr
Rfam family: tRNA
About the family: Transfer RNA (tRNA) molecules are approximately 80 nucleotides in length. Their secondary structure includes four short double-helical elements and three loops (D, anti-codon, and T loops). Further hydrogen bonds mediate the characteristic L-shaped molecular structure. tRNAs have two regions of fundamental functional importance: the anti-codon, which is responsible for specific mRNA codon recognition, and the 3' end, to which the tRNAs corresponding amino acid is attached (by aminoacyl-tRNA synthetases). tRNAs cope with the degeneracy of the genetic code in two manners: having more than one tRNA (with a specific anti-codon) for a particular amino acid; and 'wobble' base-pairing, i.e. permitting non-standard base-pairing at the 3rd anti-codon position.
Source: RNAcentral
GCCUGUUUAGCUCAGCGGUAGAGCAACGCAUUCGUAACGCGUAGGUCUGGAGUUCAAAUCUCCAAACAGGCU